GUGAGCAGCCAUAGCUCCUAUACUUCAGGCUGGGUGAUCCAUCUGAAGCUAAGCAGGUUUGGGCCUGGUUACUACUUGGAUGGGAGACCAGCUAAGAAAGCUGUGUUGCCCCUG
RNAcentral lists this ribosomal RNA (114 nucleotides) under Paramormyrops kingsleyae. The record is from RNAcentral. Lineage: Eukaryota; Metazoa; Chordata; Actinopteri; Osteoglossiformes; Mormyridae.